GACGAACCGAGCGAACGUUGUUCGGAAUCACUGGGCUUAAAGGGCGCGUAGGCGGGCUGUCAAGUCUGGGGUGAAAUCCCACGGCUCAACCGUGGAACUGCCUUAGAUACUGACGGCCUCGAGGGAGGUAGGGGCAUGCGGAACCGAUGGUGGAGCGGUGAAAUGCGUUGAUAUCAUCAGGAACUCCGGUGGCGAAGGCGGCGUGCUGGACCUUUUCUGACGCUGAGGCGCGAAAGCCAGGGGAGCAAACGGG
This 253-nucleotide ribosomal RNA is filed under the name uncultured prokaryote. RNAcentral's name for it is "partial 16S ribosomal RNA". It matches the Rfam family "Bacterial small subunit ribosomal RNA", at positions 524 to 776 of the family's 1533-position model. The record is from RNAcentral.